GUGGCUUAAUGUGUACUUAGCCACACCAAUCAGCUGACCAACAACUCCAGCUGCAGAUGAUGACUCUUCAUCUAUCAUCUGUACUUGAUUUACAGCCACAGCAUGUGUUUCAUGUUAGAAGCAAAAGGGCUCUGCACUUUUCACACAUGGCUCUUCGUGGAAUUGAUCCAGUUGCUUCUGUGACCCAAUCCGAACUUUGAACACAAAAAGCCCAAAGUGUGGUGUUUUCAACAUGCAAUUAUUGUGUCUGUGGAGCUCCAAGAAUGAAAUAAGCUGCUUCUAAUUAUGUGAACUGAAUGUGUGUUGAUGGCAAACUUCAAACACACAACAGCUCAUAAGGACCAGUACCAAGACAAAGUAUGGCUUUCAACUGCUCUUUUUUGAUGCUGAGCAAACUAGAUAUAGUAUGAUCUAGUACAGGAACUACUCCAGUGACGGUUUACAGGGACAAUAUCUCAGCAGAAGGGAAUGGACCUCUAUUCAAGUUCAUCUGAACACACACAGAAACCUUAAGAGCUGAAUCUAAGAAUUUAAAGUCUGCUUUGGACUCUGCUAGAAAACUCCUGGCAUCAGGCUCUGAUUGCUCAUUUGAAGAGAAACGACUGCAACACUUAUUGACCCAUCAGGAUUCCUGAGCGUUAAUUUAUUAAUGGAGCUGACUCGCUUGUUUCAUGUACACCUCAAUCACAUCCUCUGACAUCUUCUGCUAUUCAUUGGAAAUGAACUCUUUCCAUCCAGGGGAUUUUACCCUAGACGGCUGAGACUACAUAGUUAUUACACACUGAAAAGAGACUACUCAAGCAGAUCCAGACUGUUAGGAUGAAGAAACCAUAAUUGGAGACGGUAUGGUUUGCUGCUGUGCUUCUCAACCACAGAGCUAGGUCACCAGAGGUGAAGGUAAAUGUGUCUGUGUUGUAGUUACUCUGGCAGCUCUUUACAGUACACAAGGCCUUGAAAAUUUUACUAGACAAUGAAAGAAAGAUAAACAUAAUUCCUUCCUCUUACUCUUCAAAGUUGGGCUUUCUUAACUCAUUAAAUCCCACAGAAAACUUUACAAUGAACUUGCCUCCACUCUCACUUUUCCUCCCUGUGUAGCCCUUCUAUUACAAGUGUGAAAAUACAGUGACAUUUUUGUAUCAUUAAUAGGUGAUAACUAGCUAAUAAGAGGGAAAGAAAAGAUGAAGCCCAAUACAUUGCUGUGUAUAAAUUCUGGACACUCUACUGGUUCUGGAGUAUUUUUCCUACUAUUUGACUUCAGUAAAGUCACUUCAGUUUUCC
Long non-coding RNA from Tympanuchus pallidicinctus (lesser prairie-chicken), 1278 nucleotides. RefSeq lists it as uncharacterized. NCBI's taxonomy places the organism in Eukaryota, Metazoa, Chordata, Aves, Galliformes, Phasianidae. The transcript is spliced from 3 exons. The record is from RefSeq and is a predicted model, not a curated record.